UACGGGGGGAGCAAGCGUUGUUCGGAUUUACUGGGCGUAAAGGGCGCGUAGGCGGUCGUGACAAGUCACUUGUGAAAUCUCCGGGCUUAACUCGGAACGGCCAAGUGAUACUGUCGGACUAGAGUACAGAAGGGGCAACUGGAAUUCCUGGUGUAGCGGUGAAAUGCGCAGAUAUCAGGAGGAACACCGGUGGCGAAGGCGGGUCUCUGGGCCGAUACUGACGCUGAGGAGCGAAAGCGUGGGGAGCAAACAGG
This 254-nucleotide ribosomal RNA is filed under the name uncultured bacterium. Its description in RNAcentral is "partial 16S ribosomal RNA". It matches the Rfam family "Bacterial small subunit ribosomal RNA", at positions 524 to 776 of the family's 1533-position model. The record is from RNAcentral.